This is a long non-coding RNA of Felis catus (domestic cat), 2071 nucleotides long. RefSeq lists it as uncharacterized. The transcript has 4 exons. Lineage: Eukaryota; Metazoa; Chordata; Mammalia; Carnivora; Felidae. The record is from RefSeq and is a predicted model, not a curated record.
GCAACUCGUUGCUAAGGAAGCGUAUCCAGGUCGGAGCUUGGGCAAAGGCUGGGGCAAGAGGGGCGCCAGAGUCCAGCCGCGCAGGACGGAAAACCGUGGCCCGCCCCCUGCCGGCGGUGGUGCCCAACUCUCUCCCCUGCCUGUAAAACCCGAUCGCAAUGGUUGCUUGAAUAAAGUCUUCUUUACUGUCUUUAACAAAGAGUUAUCCAAAUUCAGAAGAUCACGUUAUUCUAAAAGUCUGUGGGACCUGGGGGCUAGAAACCAAUGUCUUCUGGGUUGCUGAGAAAAUUGCUUUUGAGGAAAGAUGUAGAAGCUGGUAGCUGCACCAGAAGAGAAUGUCUGAGCUCACACCCCACCUACAGGCCCACAUGAUUUGUCUUCUAUAUGGAUUGUGUCUUUAUCAGGCAAACAUUUAAAUUUAUAAUCUUAGAAAGCAAUUGGAUUUGAAACAAAAUCAAGUUCAAAACAAAACAAAACAAAGAACGUGGUACCAUAUGACAAAAAGUGAGUCAUAUGUUCUCUGAGACAAAUAAACCGCAUUGCUUUUAUCUGAUUUCUUUGCUUUAAUUUCUUAUUUUCCCAUCCUGAAGUUUUCAAGAAGCCAAGCCAUACUUUAGUACCUUAAAUUUAUUUUUCAUAUGCCUAGUAACAGAAUGAAAAACGGGCAGAACUAAGAAACAUUAAAAUUACAUAAAAUUAAGUUAAAAGUAUAUAAAUUAUAAUUGGAGAUGUUACCAGCUCAUACUCAGUAAUUGAUAAAGUAGAUAAAAUAUUUGUUAAGGAUAUAGAGAACUUGAAAAACAUUUUGUCAAUCAAAUUAGCAUAAUUGAUAAUUAUAAAACAACACCUAAAAUAUAUAUUCACUGCCCACUUGUAAAGGAAGCAGACAUUGAAGGCUGAUUAUUUAAAUAUGCAGUAGUACGAGUAGAGCUACAGAUAUUGUGGAAGAUUAAAUUGACUCUUUGGUGACUUCAAAAAUUACAUGGAGAAAGUUAUUCUUUUUCUUUCUACUGUGAAUCUGUAAUCAUGAUACAUUAGGUUCUAGUCAGUUAAGCUCUCAUUGAUUUUUGAACUUACUUGUUCACAUUUAAAAAGUUUAUUGGUACAUUUUCAGAUAUGUCAUCUAAAAAUUAGUACUUUAUAACCAUUUCCCAAGAUUACUAGAAAAGUUUAUAUGAUUAUGUGAUAUUUUUAUACUAAUUUUAUUGGGAACAUGGGAUUAGAGAUAAAGAAAUGUGAUCUUAUAGUAGCAUUUCAACCACUUAAGUACUCUGAGAUAAGAUAGUUACAUUCCUCUUGAUUACUUAUUUAUUUAUCUAUUUAUUUACUUUUGGUAGAUGAGGUAGAGGGAGCCUCUCUGAAUGACCAGAGCAAUAACAUAAAAUUUUCUAUGGAGUGACUUAUAAAACCAGGAAGCUAAUUCUCUUUCAUUCAGCAAGAAUGAAGGGAGUGUGUGCACUUCAUGCUGGGUACCGAUUUCCAGACUUUGAGAUUCAACUGGCUGGUGAUUUUCCAAAAGCAAAUUUGAAAGCCAAUGUAAGGUUGCCAAUUUUCUUUUUUGUUUUUUUUAAGUACGUAAAACAAAUACCACAUUUUCUCUGGUCAUCAUUUCACAUAAGAAAAAACAUUUUACACUGAAAGAAGUGGGUAGCAUAAAAUUUGAGAAUGAAGAACAAUACUUUAAACUGAAGAAUAGGGCUUAUGAAAAGCCCACAGUAUAUUACAAUAGACUUGUAAAUGUCCUUAUAGAUUGGACGUAUUGUUGCCAAACUCUGUCCCAGACCUGAUACACAGGCGGGACCACCUGAAUAUGAAUCCUGUUUCCAUGGUAUUUGCAACCUUUCCACACUGGAAUGUCAGAGAGCUGGAAGGUGUGUGUGUUUGUGUGUGUGUGUGUGUGUGUGUGUAUGUGUGUGUACAUGUUGAGGACAAAGUAUCUUUGGGUGUCUUUUUUCAGCCUAAGCCAGUUUGUUUCAGUGUAUCAUCUCUCGUUUUAUGCCCUCUGAAAGAAUAUAGAGUUAGAUUUGGGAGAAAAUAUUUUUUUAGGUUUAUUUACUUAUGUUGAGAAAAC